Molecule: long non-coding RNA, 17967 nt
Organism: Panthera uncia (snow leopard)
Lineage: Eukaryota; Metazoa; Chordata; Mammalia; Carnivora; Felidae
Exons: 2
Source: RefSeq, a predicted model, not a curated record
CAUGCUGUCUCUCUCUGUCUCUCAAAAAUAAAAUAAAAUAAAAUAAAAUAAAAUAAAAUAAAAUAAAUAAACAAACAUUUUUUAAUGUUUAUUUUUGAGAGAGACAGAGUGUUAGCGGGAGAGGGGCAGAGAGAGAGGCAGACACAGAAUCGGACGCAGGCUCCAGGUUCUGAGCUGUCGGCACAGAGCCCGACGUGGGGCUCGAACUCAUGAGCCAUGAGAUCAUGACCUGAGCCAAAGUUGGAUGUUUAACCGACUGAGCCACCCAGGCUCAACAAAAGCUUCUUAACAAAAACGUUCUAAUAUUCAUCUCUAAGAAAAAGUGUACCAGAAUCACCAGAAAAUAUUUAAAAAUAAAAAGUAAUGAAAAGGCACUUGCCCUUCCAGCUUAAAAUGUUUUGAAAGAUGUGAAAUUAUUAAAAUAUAAACAGUCAUCUCAGUGGAAUGAAAUAGCAGAUCCAUAAAUGAGCCGAGGCCACUCAUUCAGUUAAUCAGUCAAUCCCUUCAAUUACAUGUAAUAGAUAUGUUGUAUCUAUACACAUUUUAUAUGUUAUGUAUUUGGUAUAGAAAAAGCAGGAUUUUAAAGAAAUAGAAUUGGGAAAAGAAAUAACUUCAAGAUGAAUCACAAGUAUAAAAAUAAAAACAAAAAUAAAACAUUGGAAGAGAAUAUAGGUGGAUGUUUGUGUAAUUCUAAAUUUUUUUAAGUUUAUUUAUUUUGAUAGAGAGCAAGUGGGGGAGGGCCAGAGAGAGAGAGAGAGAAAAGUAAACUUAAGCAGGCUCUGCACUGUCAGCGAGAAGCCCGAUGAGGGGCUUGAACUCACGAACUGUGAGAUCAUGACCUGAGCCAAAACCAAGAGUCUGACGCUUAACCGACUGAGCCACCCAGGUGCCCCUUGUGUAAUUCUAAGGUGGACAAAGUUCUUUCUAAUCGUGACAGCAAAAGCAGGAGCCAUAAAAGAAAAGAUUGAAAGAGCAUUUCAGUCACCUUGACCUAUAUAAAAAGAGAGUUCUUUUCAAUUUUUUUAGUGCAGAUAAAAUUAAGAACCUCUAUAGAUGAUAAAAAAAAAAUUAUAAGGCAAGCAAUAAAGUGGGAAACACUUAACCACUGUGAACAAUAAUUAUUAUCCCUAAUAUUUAAAGAACUCUUGUAAAUUAGUAAAAAUAAAUAAAUACAUAAACCAUGCUCAAUAGCAAAAUGAGCAGAGGACAUUUAUCAAAAAGUGAAGCCAGUAGCCAACAAACCUACAGUGUUUUUUGAACCCUACUAUUGAUAUAUAAUAAAACAAGUUAAACACAAUAUCAUUUUCCCCAAUUGUUAGGCUGAUGUCGAUUGAAAAGAAUGAUGAUAUAUAGAGUGAUGAUAAGUACAUGGGAAACUGUGUCAUAUACGCUGAUGUUGAAUUCACAAGUUGGUGUAAUAUAUAAGGAGGGUACUUUUCAUAAAAUUUAAAAUAUUUAAUAUCAUGAAUACCUUUUUGCAAGCAAUUCCACUUAAGGCAUUAUUUUAAGGAGGUAAACCAACAGAUGUAUCCAAAGCAAUACCCAUUCAUUCUUGUUAUAACAGCAAAAUAUUAUAACAACUAGGAGAGUAUUUGGUUGUACAAAGCAUCCACAUCAUAUGGUUGAAUACCAUGAAAACUUUAAAAAUGGUAUUGUAGAUGCAUAUUUAUUCAUAAAUGUCCAAGAUUAUUUCAAUGGAAAAAAUCAAAUCAGUAUGUAGGAAUGAACCUGGGGUUGUUUGUUUUGUAAGUCUCUAGAAGAGUAAUUCUUAAAAGUUCUCAUCACAAGGAAAAAAGCUGUAAUUAUAUGGGGUGAUGGAUGUGACCUCGGCUUGUUGUGGUGGUUAUUUCAUGAUAUAUACGUUUGUGAAAUCAUUACGUUGUACACCAAAAACGAAUACAAUGUUAUAUGUCCAUUAUAUGGCAAUAAGAAAAUUAAAUGCCUGGAUUCACUUCUACUUUACUGUUAAUAGUUAGGAUUAUUGGAAACGUUUAAAAAUAUUUGUUCCCUUCUAUUUUCUAAACAUGGGGGAGUGAAGUGAGGAGAAGCAAAGAACAACGAUAAAAGAGAGAAAUAUACCGCCUGUUUAAAAGAAGGUAGAAAAAGAAAUCCCCCUACCAAAAAAAAAAUGGCAAAUUGACCCCUCAUUCGCAGUGAUCUGAGAAGGAGUUAUAUUUUAGUGUGCAGUGAGGGGGUCUUUACCACGUAAGGAUGGCCUGAUACCCCUGAGUCUGGUGUGCAUUAGGAUUCCCUCUCGGAUUGAAUUCACUUACUUCUGGCGGUAGAGAUCAAAGUAGGGCAGAAAUAUUCUGUACGACAUUCUGACAAAAAUUAAAAGAUGAAAGAAACCUGUAUAAAAUAAUUAAUACAGCAAGAAAAAAGCAGAACCUGCUUGUGUCGAGAAAAGACUUUGAUAAAAAGCUUCUUGUAUAGGUUAUGCCAUCUUCUAUGGAACAAAAUGCUGCAUUACUUCCCUAACAAAAUGUAAGCGUAUCUGAAAUUUUCGCAUCUUUCUCUGUUUCUCGAGAGAACGUUAUUUCAGUGAUGAUAAAAUUCCCCAUGAUUCCUUAGUACUUCUGAAGAGGUGACGCUGUAGGUGUUUUAUGAGACACCUAUAAGAAAUAACUCUCACUUAUCCCUGAGAAAGCUACCUCAGUACAGGUUUGACAGAUAUCGUCAGGCAUGGAUCCCUGAAAAUGUCUUUGAUCACCCUCAUAUUAAAAAAAAAGAAACAACAGGGGCGCCUGGGUCGCUCACUUGGUUAAGCAUCUGACUUCGGCUCGAGCCAUGAUCUCACGGUUGGUGAGUUUGAGCCCCGCGUCGGGCUCUGUGCUGACAGCUCAGAGCCUGGAGCCCGUUUUGCAUUCUGUGUCUCCCUCUCUCUCUGCUCCUCCCCUGCUCACGCUCUGUCUCUCUCUCAAAAAUAAACAAAGAGUUUUUAAAAAUUUUAAGAAGAAAAAAACAACUCUGGAAAUGUUAAGAGUCCAGUGCGUUUAUUCUGUGCUGGGUGUUUGAGCAACGAGGCAGAAAUAUAUGUAGAAGUUGACCAUCUGGGUAUUAAAGAGUUUAUGUUUCUGUUGCAUUUCUUUAAAAAAAAAGAUUUCUCUCUAUAGCAUUAAUUUUAUGUAAGGAAGUAUAUGUAUUGACUUUGUACAGGUGCAUCAUUUAGAUAAAUAUGGGAAAGCUUAUAAAGAACUGCAGUAAUAAUCUUAAAUUCCGUACAAGGUGUAGUUCAUGCUAAUGUAGCAGUGUGGAGAGAACACGAAACUUCCAUUGAGAAGAUCCUACUCAGAAACCUGCUCCACUGCAUUGUGGGAACGAGAGCAUGAAUUGGGGGCUCUUUGAGGGCUAAACAAUAUAAAAUGUAGCCACUUGUAGCAAUGUGGAUGGAACUGGAGGGUAUUAUGCUAAAUGAAACAAGUCAGGCAGAGAAAGACAGAUACCGUAUGUUUUCACUCAUAUGUGAAUCCUGAGAAACUUAACAGAAGACCAGGGGGGAAGGGAAGGGGGAAAAAAAAGUUAUAGAGAGGGAAGGAGGCAAACCAUAAGAGACUCUUAAAUACUGAAAACAAACUGAGGGUUGAUGGGGGUGGGGAGAGGGGAAAGUGGGUGAUGGGCAUGGAGGAGGGCACCUGUUGGGAUGAACACUGGGUGUUGUAUGGAAACCAAUUUGACAAUAAAUUAUAUUUAAUAUAAAAAAUAAAAAUAAAAUGUAGUACAAAUACAACUAAAUUAUACAACUACGUUCUGGGCAGAAAUUUUCACUCAAUUGAUGCAAAACCUGCCCCUGGAUUGAGUCCCUGCCUCUGAGUGUGGGGCACCUAUCCCAGGUAAGUAGUUGAAGCUUCUUGGAGUUAGAGGGUGCUGACCCACCCAGGGUCUUAGAGGACAAUGGGCUCUGAGUCGAUGGCCCACCCCAAUUUGCAGCUCCUUUGGAAAGAUCUAGGUUGCUUUUAAAUCCCUCCUCAGUGGCAUCUGUUACUUGAAACUAGAAGUCAUGUUUUUAUUAUGUCCGGAAUAGACUUCAUGUAUCUCCACUUGUGUUAAUCUCUGGCUGGCUGAAGAAGGGAGAUGGAUAGUUAGGUAAAGAAUCAGGCCCAGAACACAGCUGCUGAAUUACCUCUUAGAGGUGUUUAUAGCAGUUGAAACAUCUACCUGCCUAACUAACCAUGAGAAACAGAGACAAGAAACUACAUGAUGAGACUUCAUCUAAACAAAUCCACACUCCCCCCCCGCCCCGCCCCAUAUCUCUGUCCCUUUCCUUGAAUCCCUUUAAACUCUGUUGGAGGGAUUGGUCAUAUGUGGCUUUUGUGGCGGAUACUUGUCCUCUGGCUAGACUGUCAGUUUCUCUGUCACUGGUCAGCAGUGUCCCCAGUGCCUCGUUCCAUGUCUGUUUUCUUGAUCUUUGAUCCUUAAUAUGGCUCAGUUUUUAAAGCCUCCUGUUUUAUGUUAAUAUUCUAUCCAUACCUGAAAUAUUCAAGUUUCCAAUAAGCAUUCAUUGAUUUUGUUUCUCUACUAAGUAUCUCUUUAGUUUCCUUUUGCUGUACUUAAUAUUUAAUGAUCAUUUCUUGUUUAUAUCAUUUACUGAUUUCGUGGUGUUAUUUUUCAUGGAUAGUUUAAUUACUCUGUGAUGCAUCAUGUUCUUAAUUUGAAUUUCCAUUUUUUCUUCUCACUUUGAGGUUUUAUCAUCAUUUAUUAACUUACCACAUUGUUAUUCCUACUUUAAAUAUUCAAAAACUAAAAAUGGGAAGGAAAGACUUGUUUUGAAUCAUGAACUGAGACCCUCUGUCUUAAACUGGGAGUUUCCCUAGAGAAUAAAACCAUCAUUUCUCAGAACACAGCCUCAAUCCUCCCCCAUAUGGACCCUUCUGCUCCAUUCCCUAAGCUGCCAUCCGCAUGAAGACACGCAUUGCCCCCACCCUAGAUGUGACUGCAAAGACAGGUGAUUAGGCUUCUUGACUCCAGGUGCUCUGGUCACCACACCUUCUCCAAACAGUUGAUUAUAACAACCUCUUACGGAAAUAACAGCUAGUUGCUUGUGCUUAUUAAUAGAGUAAACAUCUUAGCCUGGAAUUCAAGAUCUUCCUCAAUCUCCUGUGAAUUUAUUACUCAAAACUAUGUUCUAUUGGUAAUGAGGAGUGGGGAAGAUGUUCAGGAAAUUUCUAAUUCAGAGCCAGUCUUGUGGUUGGCUUUCUGUGUUGAAUGAGGCAUAUUUAGGAUAAAAAAGAUUUGGUUCCUGUAAUUGAAGAGGUCAUAGAUUAGUGGAAGAGGAGACAGAUACUCCAUUUAAUGUAAAUUCUUGCAAUAGAGUACAAUGCCUGCAGAGGUAGAGUUAUGAAAGAUAAAGCAUAUAGAAAAUGCAGUAGCCAACUUCCACCCAGUAGGAUGACUACUUAACAAAACAAAACAUGGGCCGCCUGGGUGGCUCAGUCAGUGAAGCGUCCGACUUCAGCUCAGGUCAUGAUCUCACAGUUCGAGGGUUCGAGCCCCACGUCGGGCUCUGUGCUGACAGCUCAGAGCCUGGAGCUGGCUUCAGAUUCUGUGUCUCCCUCUCUCUCUGCCCCUCCCCAACUAGCGCUCUGUCUCUGUCUCUCAAAAAAAUAAAAAGAAACAAAAACGUUUAAAAAAUAAUAAUAAAAAAGAAAACUCUUUAAAAACAAAACAAAACAAACAACCCCCCCCCCAAAAAAAAAAAAAAAAAAAAAAACAGAAAGUAAGCAUUGGUGAGGACGUAGAAAAAUUGGAACCCUCACGCACUGCUAGUGGGAAUGUAAAAUGGUGCAGCCAUUGUGGAAAACAAUAUGGCUGUUCCCCUCAAAAUUAAUAAUAGAAUUACCCUGUGAUUCAUUAAUUCCAGUUCUGGGCAUAUAUCCCAAAGAAUUGAAAGCAUGGUUUUGAAGAGAGAUUUGGGUGUUUCUUGUUCAUAGACCAUUAUUCACAGUAGCCAAAAAGUGGAAGCAACCCAAAUGUCCACUGAUGAUGGAAUGGAGAAGCAAAAUGUUGCACAUACAUACACGGAAAUAUUUUUCAGCCUUAAAAAGAGAAGAAAUUCUGCAAUAUGCUACAACAUGGGUCAGUCUUGAGGACGUUAUACCAAAUGAAAUAAGCCAGACAAAAUCACAUACCAUGUGAUUCACCUAGAGUUGUCAAACUUCUAGAAAUUAGAAUGGUGACUGCCAGGAAUUGAGAAGAGGGGGAAAGGGGAGUCCUUAUUGAAUGGAUACAAAGUUUCAGUUUUGCAACAGGAGAAGGGUUCUGUGGAUGGAUAAUGGUGAUGGUUGCAGGACAGUGUGAACGUAUUGAAUAUCACUCACUACACUUAAAAAGGGUUAAGAUGGUAAAUGUUAUGUGUAUUUUACUGCAAUUACAAAAGAAAAGGUGGGGGGGAUCUGGUGAAAGCCAAUGCUGUAGCAGCUACUAAGGAAAUAGAAAACUAGACCAACUGGACCAGUACGUCAUUUCAAUAACUUUGAGACAGCUUGUAGGGCCAGUGGGGCAUCAUUGUUACAUCUAAUACUGGGAGUAUCUUAACAUAUAAAUAUGCUAUUUAAUGUGAGAUCUGGGUAUGUGACAGGCAUCACACUCAGCUUCUUAAGCAGCUUCAUUGGUUUAAAAAUGAGUAGCUGCUCCAUUAGUUGGCGUUUCAACCCAAGAAGCACUUGGGGUUGCCAGGCAACAGAUCACUGCUGUCAAGAGGGGCAAAUCUGACAUUAAUUUUAUAUCUCUUAAAAUGCUAGAAGAAAUGUUGAAUCUAAAUGUUUUCAUUCCUACCUACUCUCUUUAAAAAUACAAACACGUGGAUUGUCCAGAGCAGUGCCGUGCUGUUGCUACAAGACGAGAGUGUUUCGUGCAGCUGCUCCCGUGUUUUGUUUUCUUUGCCAAAGCACACUCAGUCUUUCAGGAGACCGGGGGCAACAUGUGGACUCGACGCUGUGAGGACUAAUAUCAUUAUAGGAGAAGCUCUUACGUCACCCAGCAAAAUAAAGCCACUAAAUGGCAAACGUUUUCUUUAAGAAUGGAUUUUUUAAAUCCAGAAGACUUCUUUUUGGGUAAGCUUAGGGGGGAAAAAAAGGACAAUGGUUAGAUUACUCAUUGUACUUUUGUGCAGAGCACCAGAAUAAAUGAGAGAACUAAUGCCUGUGAUCCACACAAGUAGAGCCAGUGAGAAAUGUACAAAGUUGACGUUACUCAACUGGAUUGGCCAAGGGAUACCUAAAGAAGAAGGGAGAUUCUUUUUCCUUAUACAGUAAGACGUGUGUGUUUUGCUCUGACUAUAGUCUUUAUUUAACCGACUAUAUAGAGCAGAGCGGUGAGGGGUAUCGUUAAGCACAUGAAUAAUUUUGACCCUCACCUGUUUUCUCUUAAUGCCAAAAAUUGGGUUGGUGGGAACUCCUAGCACUGGGACUUCUUCUUCAACCUUAAUUCUGCCCUUUCCCGGGAGCCCAUGUGGUUGACCCAUCUGGCACCCCGCCUUCUGGGUUCCUUGCCUCUGUGAAUUGAACUCAACUUCAGUUCCACACUAACGGCUCCCACCUGUGGGCGUGCCAAGAAGGGGGUGGGCCACUGAAUUCUCUGCUCCCUAUUCUGAUCUGUGGCUGUCCUUCCCCUCCUUGCCUCUUGCACUCCCUUUCCCACAGUGGCUACUCCAAACCUCCACCGCUGUCUGGAAUUUCUCUUGAGCUGCUUUCCACCCCUCUGUCUGCACUCAUCGUUAGCUCUUCCUUUCCUGUUUCUGUCCAAAGCUAAAGUACUUUUUCCACCUGUGCCCUUGACUCUAGCUCCUUCUGCAACCCACAGACCCUUUCUUGAGUUAGAAAGCCUGGUUUAGGAUCCUGCUUAGAUGCGGUGUGACCUUGGCAAGUCAGUCGGCCUCUCUGUACAGCAGCUUCUUGCCAGCAGAAGGUGGUGAGUAGUGUACCCACGUCCUACAUUAUGAGGAGUCAAAGAGAUAAUGUGUGUAAAGCACAUUGAGCAGUGCCUGGCAUGUAGUUUUCAAUCAGUGUUCGAUGCUCUGAUGCUCAGUGUUAGCAUCUUAGCUCCUGUCUUCGGUGCUGGUUCUGGGCCCCUGGGAUCCCAUUCAUGUGCCCACUUGCUUCCUGCCCGCGACUUCAGCAGUUGUGGGCUUUCCCCACACUUGCUUUCCAGCCUUUCAGUCUUCGAUAGCUCUUCCUACAGGGAAGCCUUACUUGAUUUUUAUACCUCCCCCCAACACUAGCCCAAGUGUGAGAGGUUGCCCCCAUCUUCCCAUAGCUCCCUAGACUUCCUUUCUGUAAUAGUUUUGUGUGUCCGCGUGGCUAGGCCGUAGCACCCGGUUACUCCGUCAAACACCACUCGAGGUGUUGCUCUGGAGGUAUGGUGUAGACGCGGUUGACAUCUGUAAUCCGUUGACUUUAAGUAAAGGAGGUUAUCCCCUCUAAUCUGGAUGGGCCUCAUUGAAUCAUUUCAGUGGCCAUAGGAGCAAAGCUGAGGGUUCCCUGAGGGAGAAGACAUUCUGCCCCAAGGCUACAACACAGACUCCUGCCUCCGAGUUUCUGCCCUGCAGGCCUGCGCUGUGGAUUUUGAACUUUCCAGCCCGCAUAACUGUGUCAGGCAGUUUCUUGAAAUCUGUGUGUGUGUAUCUCUGUGUGUACGUGUAGGGACAGAUAUACAUAUAUGCGUUUGUAUGAAUACAUACGUAUUGAUGUACACACACGUAUACACGUGUUCGCUUUCUACUGCUUCUGUUUCCUGGAAGAAACCUGACUGUUUCCGCCUCUCCUCACUUGCACAGACUGCAUUGCACCCCGUUUCCUUUCUGAAUCUCCUCUGCUCUGACAGCCAACAUGCGGGCAGGAGCCACAUUCGUCCACAUGCCGGACCCACAACUCAAUUUGUAUUGAAUGAAUGAAUGCUGGGGAAAGUUAGAAUGUAUGCUAUCAUUGAGCAUAAUAAAAAUGAAUAUGUAAUCUUCAGUGUGAUGAACAGGAAAAAUAUGCAGCCGAGAAUCCUUUAUCCAGCAAGUCUGUCAUUCAGAAUAGGAGAGAUAAAGGUUUUCCCAAACAAAAACUGAAGGAAUUCAUCACCACUAAACCAGCCCUACAAGAGAUCCUAAGGGGGACUCCAUGACUGAAGUGUUGCAAGGACCACAAAGUACCAGAGACAUCACUACAAGCAUGAAACCUACAGACAUCACAAUGACUCUAAACCCAUAUCUUUCAAUAAUAACACUGAAUGUAAACAGACUAAAUGCUCCAACCAAAAGACAUAGGGUAUCAGAAUGGAUAAAAAAAAAAAACAAGACCCAUCUAUUUGCUGUCCACAAGAGACUCGUUUUAGACCUGAGGACACCUUCAGAUUGAAAGUGAGGGGAUAGAGAACUAUCUAUCAUGCCACUGGAAGUCAAAAGAAAGCUGGAGUAGCCAUACUUACAUCAGACAAACUAGACUUUAAAUUAAAGGCUGUAACAAGAGAUGAAGAAGGGCAUUAUAUAGUAAUUACAGGGUCUAUCCAUCAGGAAGAGCUAACAAUUAUAAAUGUCUAUGCACCGAAUAUGGGAGCCCCCAAAUAUAUAAAACAAUUACUCACAAACAUAAGCAACCUUAUGGAUAAGAAUGUGGUAAUUUCAGGGGACUUUAAUACCCCACUCACAACAAUGGAUAGAUCAUCUGGACACAGGAUCAAUAAAGAAACAAGGGCCCUGAAUGAUACAUUGGGUCAGAUGGACUUGACAGAUAUAUUUAGAACUCUGCAUCCCAAAGCCACAGAAUAUACUUUCUUCUCGAGUGCACACGGAACAUUCUCCAAGAUAGAUCAUAUACUGGGUCACAAAACAGCUCUUCAUAAGUAUGAAAGAAUUGCGAUCAUACCAUGCCUACUUUCAGAAAUCUGAAACUUGAAAUCAACCACAGGAAAAAGUCUGGAAAACCUCCAAAAGCAUGGAGGUUAAAGAACGCCCUACUAAAGAGUAAAUGGGUCAACCAGGCAAUUAGAGAAGAAAUUUAAAAAUAUAUGGAAACAAAUGAAGAUGAAAAUACAACCAUCCAAACACUUUGGGAUGCAGCAAAGGCAGUCCUGGGAGGGAAAAUACAUUGCAAUCCAGGCCUAUCUCAAGAAACAAGAAAAAUCCCAAAUACAAAGUCUAACAGCACACCUAAAGGAAAUACAAGCAGAGCAGCAAAGACACCCCAAACCCAGCAGAAGAAGAGAAAUAAUAAAGAUUGGAGCAGAAAUAAACAAUAUAGAAUCUAAAAAAACUAUAGAGCAGAUCAAUGAAACCAAGAGUUGGUUUUUUGAAAAAAUAAAAUUGAUAAACCUCUAGCCAGGCUUCUCAAAAAGAAAAGGGAGAUGACCCAAAUAGAUAAAAUCAUGAAUGAAAAUGGAAUGAUUACAACCAAUCCCUCCGAAAUACAAGCAGUUAUCAGGGAAUACUAUGAAACAUUAUAUGCCAACAAACUGGACAACCUGGAAGAAAUGGACAAAUUCCUAAGCACCCACCCACUUCCAAAACUCAAACAGGAAGAAACAGAAAACUUGAACAGACCCAUACCCAGCAAAGAAAUUGAAUCAGUUAUCAAAAAUCUCCCAACAGAUAAGAGUUCAGGACCAGAUGGCUUCCCUGAGGAAUUCAACCAGACAUUUAAAGCAGAGUUAAUACCUAUCCUUUUCAAGCUGUUCCAAAAAAUAGAAAGGGAAGGAAAACUUCCAGACUCAUUCUAUGAAGCCAGCAUUACUUUGAUUCCCAAACCAGACAGAGACCCAGCAAAAAAAGAGAACUAUGGGCCAAUAUCCCUGAUGAAUAUGGAUGCAAAAAUUCUCAAUAAGAUACUAGCAAAUCGAAUUCAACAGCAUAUAAAAAGAAUUAUUCACCAUGAUCAAGUGGGAUUCAUUCCUGGGUUGUAGGGUUGGUUCAAUAUUCACAAAUUGAUCAAUGUGAUACAUCACAUUAAUAAAAGAAAAGAUAAGAACCAUAUGAUCCUGUCAAUCAAUGCAGAAAAAGCAUUUGACAAAAUUCAGCAUCCUUUCUUAAGAAAAACCCUUGAGAGAGUCAGGAUAGAAGGAACAUGCUUAAACAUCAUAAAAGCCAUUUAUGAAAAGCCCACAGCUAAUAUCAUCCUCAAUGGGGAAAAACUGAGAGCUUUCCCCCUGAGAUCAGGAACACGACAGGGAUGUCCACUCUUACCGCUGUUGUUUAACAUAGUGUUGGAAGUUCUAGCAUCAGCAAUCAGACAACAAAAGGAAGUCAGUCAUCCAAAUUGACAAAGAUGAAAUCAAGCUUUCACUUUUUGCAGAUGACAUGAUAUUAUACAUGGAAAAUCCGAUAGACUCCACCAAAAGUCUGCUAGAACUGAUACAUGAAUUCAGCAAAGUCGCAGGAUACAAAAUUAAUGUACAGAAAUCAGCUGCAUUCUUACAGACUAAUAAUGAAGCAACAGAAAGACAAAUAAACUGAUCCCAUUCAUAAUUGCACCAAGAAUCAUAAAAUACCUAGGAAUAAACCUAACCAAAGAUGUAAAAGAUCUGUGUGCUGAGAACUAUAGGAAGCUUAUGAAGGAAACUGAAGAAGAUACAAAGAAAUGGAAAAACAUUCCAUGCUCAUGGAUUGGAAGAAUAAAUAUUGUUAAAAUGUCAAUACUACCCAAAGCAAUCUACACAUUCAAUGCAAUCCCAAUCAAAAUUGCACCAGUAUUCUUCUUAAAGCUAGAACACACAAUCCUAAAAUUUGUAUGGAACCACAAAAGACCCCAAAUAGCCAAAGUAAUAUUGAAGAAGAAGACCAAAGCAGGAGGCAUCACAAUCCCAGACUUUAGCCUCUACUACAAAGCUUUCAUCAUCAAGACAGCAUGGUAUUGGCACAAAAACAGACACAUAGACCAGUGGAAUAGAAUAGAGACUCCAGAAUUGGACCCACAAAAGUAUGGCCAACUAAUCUUUGACAAAGCAGGAAAGAAUAUCCAAUGGAAAAAAGACAGUCUCUUUAGCAAAUGGUGCUGGGAGAACUGGACAGCAACAUGCAGAAGAUUGAAACUAGACCACUUUCUCACACCAUUCACAAAAACAAACUCAAAAUGGAUAAAGUACCUGAAUGUGAGACAGGAAACCAUCAAAACCCUAGAGGAGAAAGCAGGAAAAAAACCUCUCUGACCUCAGCCGCAGCAAUUUCUUACUGGACACAUCUCCAAAGGCAAGGGAAUUAAAAGCAAAAAUGAACUAUUGGGACCUCAUUAAGAUAAAAACCUUCUGCACUGCAAAGGAAACAAUCAACAAAACUAAAAGGCAACUGAUGGAAUGGGAAAAGAUAUUUGCAAAUGACAUAUCGGACAAAGGGCUAGUAUCCAAACUCUAUAAAGAACUCACCAAACUCCACACCCGAAAAACAAAUGAUCCAGUGAAGAAAUGGGCAGAAGACAUGAAUAGACACUUCUCUAAAGGAGACAUCCAGAUGGCCAACAGGCACAUGAAAAGAUGCUCAACGUCACUCCUCAUUAGCGAACUACAAUUCAAAACCACACAGGUAACAACUCACACCAGCCAGAGUGGCCAAAAUGAACAAAUCAGGAGACUAUAGAUGCUAGAGAGGAUGUGGAGAAACGGGAACCCUCUCACACUGUUGGUGGGAAUGCAAACUGAUGCAGCCACUCUGGAAAACAGUGUGGAGGUUCCUCAAAAAAUUAAAAAUCGAUCUACCCUAUGACCCAGCAAUAGCACUUCUAGGAAUUUACCCAAGGGAUACAGGAGUGCUGAUGCAUAGGGGCACUUGUACCCCAAUGUUUAUAGCAGCACUUUAAACAAUAGCCAAAUUAUGGAAAGAGCUUAAAUGUCCAUCAACUGAUGAAUGGAUAAAGAAAUUGUGGUUUAUAUACACAAUGGAAUACUACUUGGCAAUGAGAAAGAAUGAAAUAUGGCCUUUUGUAGAAAUGUGGAUGGAACUGGAGAGUGUUACGCUAAGUGAAGUAAGUCAUCCAGAGAAAGACAGAUACCAAAUGUUUUCACGCUUAUGUGGAUCCUGAGAAACUUAACAGAAGACCAUGGGGGAAAAAAGUUAGAGAGGGAGGGAGCCAAACCGUAAGAGACUCUUAAAAACUGAGAAUAAACUGAGGGUUGAUCAGGGGUGGGAGGGAGGGGAAAGUGGGUGAUGGACAUUGAGGAGGGCACCUGUUGGGAUGAGCACUGGGUGUUGUACGGAAACCAGUUUGACAAUAAAUUUCAUAUUAAAAAAGAAAGAAUAUGUGAAGGGAGUAACUCUUCUAAUUGGCAGAUGAUUUCUCAUCACUCCUAUAGAUGGAGUCCACAGAGAAUGAUGUCUCUCUUACUCCUUGUCUUAGUCAUUAUGGGCUGAAGCUGGUGCAUUCACCUUCCGCUUUGCCUUUUAGCCUCAAAGAUAUUUGAGAUCAUGAUUUAUCCUUUUCCCUUCUGUAUGACUCAUGGCAGGAUUUAGUUCUUUAAUUUUCCUACAUAUGCAUCUUUUGGAUAAGAACAGUUUAUAAACAACUGUUAAGAGCUGGAUGACUUUUUUCCUACUUCAUCCUUCAUAAGAAUCUUUCUCUUUCUAUAAUAGGAUUAUUUGAAAAUUUUGGCAAGAGGUUUGUUUUGAAACCCAGGCUGAGGCCAGAUUAGUUCAUGAGGAUGCUGGUGUAGAUUUGCGAUGUGUAUUUACUCAAAGGUUCAGAUUUCUCUUUAAUGUUAUUGUAUGACAUUUUUAUUUUCAGUUUGGAAGUUAACCUGAUUAUUGUUCCUGAUAUUUCUUAGUUGAUUGAUCUGUCUAGUACAAUCUCAAACCCCGUUGUUGUUUGUGAUAUGUAUUGCUGAGGGGGCCACCAAUACUUAGAAAUCAUAUGUAGACACUGCCAGCACUGAUAAAGAUCCUAUUUCUGAGCUGGCAUUGUGGGUCCAUUGUGAGACAAUUAGGACUGGUUGAAUCUCUUUCUGCAUGAUGUAAUGUAUUUUUGUCAAAGUUGGAACACAUUGAAACUAUGAACUUGGGCAGUUCCUUGAAUUGUUUGGAUUCAGAGACACUUGAAGAACUAAAAAUAACUUCACAGGGCGAGAAAUAUAUCAGGCAUUUCUUCUUUUGGAAGGAGCUCUAUUCAUUCUGUCUCCUGAUUUUUGGGAAACAGUGUGUCUGGUUCUAGUCCCAGGGGAGCCCGGUGUGAGGGCUCAGAACGUGGAGCCCAGUGUUCUCUCUUCCAAGGAUCCUGUCCAGUCCUUGUGCUUCCCUGGCCCUAAGAGAGAAAGGCUCGGCACUAAAAAAGGGUGUAGGGAGCUGAACCAAAGGGGAUCAUUAUAGCUUUAGUGGGAUAUCCUCAACAUAGGACUGAGAAGGCAGGAGGUGGUUAUAGCUACACAGAUGAGGGCAAAGAGAGGCUUAGGACAUGAAGGUGGCCUGGGUUUGACCUUCAGUCAUCUAAUGGGACAUUAAGCAGUUUUAUCCCCCACUAGAAUGUAAGCUUUGUGCACUAAUCGCCCCAUGCAGGUUGAACAGGGAUGGAUGUGAUUCCCACACAAAGCCUAGAAGAGAGCCAGGAUAUUAUGUUGAGUUUCCCCAUCCUAACAACAGCUUAGGCUGGCUUUGGUCUCAUAGAAAGAUCUGAGCUUGGAGCUAGGCAUUGUGGAUGUUAAUCCCAACUUUUUAAAAUAAGGCCUAUGAAAUCACCUUGUACUUUAGUCAUUCCAAGUGGAAAAUGGGAAUAAUAAUGUAAUUUUUCCUGUUAUGCAGUAUAGUUUAAAAUUUUUUAAUCUUUAUUUAUUUUUGAGAGAGAGAUACAGAGUGCGAGCAGGGGAGGAACAGAGAGAGAGGGAGACACAGAAUCCGAAGCGGGCUCCAGGCUCUGAGCUGUCAGUACAGAGCCCGACACGGGGCUUGAAUUCACGAACCGCGAGAUCAUGACCUGAGCCAAAGUUGGAUGCUUAACUGACUGAGCCACCAGGCACCCCUAUGCAAUGUAGUUUUAAAGAUGGGCAUUACAGGGGUGCCUGGGUGGCUCAUACUGUUAACUGUCCAACUCUUGAUUUUAGUUCAGGUCAUGAUCUCAUGGUUCAUGGGAUUGAGCCCUGCAGUGGGCUCUACACUGACAGCACAGAGCCUGCUUGGGAUUCGCUCUCUCUCCCUCUCUCUCUACCUCUCUCUCUCUUUCUCAAAACAAAUAAAAUUUAAAGAUGGGCACUGUAAAUUCAAGCUAUUGGGAUUACACCAAAAUGAAAAAUUUUUCACAGUGAAGGAAACCGUCAACCAAACAAUCUACUGAAUGGGAGAAGAUAUUUGCACAUGAUAUAUUUGAUAAGGGGUUAGUACCCAGAAUAUAUGAAAAACUUCUACAACUCAACACCAACAAACAAUCCAAUUAAAAGAUGGGCAGAGGACCUGAAUAGGCAUUUUUCAGAGGAAGUUAUACAGGUGGCCAACAGACACAUGAAAAGAUGCUCAGCAUCACUAACCAUCAGGCAAAUCCAGGUCAUAACCACAAUGAGAUAUCACCUCACACCUGUCCAAAUGGCCAAAACCCAAAACACAAGAAACAACAAGUGUUGGUGGGGAUGUGGAGAAAGUGUACAGUGUGUGCACUGUUGGUGGGAAUACGGCUCUUACAGCCACUGUGGAAAAGAGUAUGGAGGUUCCUCAAAAAAUAAACAGAAUUAUCAUAUGAUCCAGUAAUUCCAGUGCUAGGUAUUCACCCAAAGAAAACAAAACCACUGGGGCACCUGGGUGGCCCAGUCUGUUGAGCAGCCAACUUCAGCUCAGGUCAUGAUCUCACAGUUCAUGGGUUCAAGCCCUGCAUCGGGCUCUGUGCUGACACCUCAGAGCCUAGAUCCUGCUUUGGAUUCUGUCUCUGUCUCCCCCACUCAUAUUCUUUCUCUCUCUGUCUCUCAAAAAUAAAGAAAAACAUUUAAAAAAAUUUUUUAAAGAAACAAAAACACUAAUUUGAAAAGAUAUAUGCACCCCUCUGUUUAUUGCAGCAUUAUUUACAAUAGCCAAGAUGUGGAAGCAACCCAAAGGUCUCUUGAUAGAUAAAUGGAUACAGAAGGUGUGGAAUAUAUACAUACACAUGUACAUAUACACAGUGGAAUAUUACUUGGUCAUUAAAGAAUAAAAUCUUGCCAUUUGCAAUGAUAUGGAUGGACCUAGACGGUAUAAUGCUAACUGAAACAAGUCAGUCAACGAAGGACAAAUGCCAUAUAAUUUCAACUUAUAUGUGGAAUUUAAGAACUAAAACAAACGAACAAAGAAACAAAGAGAAAAAAACAUAUUUAAAUAUAGAGAACAAACUGGUGGUUGCCAGAGAAGAGUUGGGUAAGGGGAUAGGUGAAAUAGUUGAUGGGGAUUAAGAAUACACAUCAUGAUGAGCAUUGUACACCUGAAACUAAUAUAACACUGUAUGUUAAUUAUUGUUGAAUUAAAAAGAAAAAAAUGGGCACUACAAGAAAAGAAAACUAGGAGCCAAUACCCUGAUGAUGAUAGAUGCAAAAAUCCUUAACAAAAUACUAGCAAAUGGAAUUCAAGAGCAUAUAAAAAGAUCAUACAGCAUGAUCAACAUACCCAACAUAUGGUUCAACAUACCCAAAUCAAUAAAUGAGAUAUACCACAUUAACAUAAUGAAGAAUAAAAAUUACAAGAUUAUUUCAAUAGAUGCAGAAAAAGCAUUUGAAAAAUUCAACAUUCUUGUGUGAUUUAAAACUCUCAACAAAUUAUAAAAGGAAUGUACCUCAACAUAAUAAAGGCCGUGUUUGGCAAGCCCACAGCUGACAUCAUACUCAGUGAUGCAAAGUUAAAAGCCUUUCCUUUAAGAUCACGAACAAGACAAGGAUGCCCCCUGUUGCCAUUUCUAUUCAACUUAGUACUGAAAGUCCUAGCCAUGGUAAUUAGGCAAGAAAAAGAAAUAAAAGGUAUCCAAAUUAGAAAGGAAGAAGUAAAAUUAUCUAUUUGUAGGGCUCGUAUAGAAAGCCCUGAAGACUUCACUAAAAAAACUGUUAGAACUAAUGAAUGAAUUUAGUAAAAUUACCAUAUACAAAAUCAACAUAGAAAAACCAGGUUCAUUUUUACAAACUAAGAACAAACUAUUCCUCAAAGAAAAACUAAGAAACCAAACCCAUUUACAACACCACCAAAACCAGUGAAACACUUUUUAAAUGAAAUGUAACCAAUUUAUUUAACCAAGGAGAUGAAAGAACUGUACACUGAAAACUUACAAGACAUUGAUGAAAGAAAUUGAAGAAGACACAAAUAAAUGGAAAGAUAUUCCAUGUUCGUGGAUUGGAAGAAUUAAUAUUAUGAAAAUGUCCAUGCUACCCAAAGCGAUCCAUAGAUUUAAUCUAAUCUCUAUCAAAAUCCAAUGACAUUUUUGUUAGAAACAGAAAAAACUACCCUAAAACUUAUAUGGAACCACAAAAGACCCCAAAUAGCCAAUGCAGUGUUGAGAGAGAAGAACAAAGCUGGAGGCUUUACGCUUCCUGAUUUCAAGCUACAUUACAAAGCUAUAGCAGCAAUAAACAUAGUAUGUUAAUGGCAUAAAACAGACGCUCAUGCAUAUAUUAUCAGUUAAUUUAGGGCAUAGGAGCCAAGAAUAUACAAUGGGGAAAGGAUAGUUUCUUCAAUAAAUGGUGUUGGAGAAAUUGGACCCCUAUCUUACACCAUACACAAAACUCAACUCAGCGUGGAUUAAAGACUUGAGUUUUAUGACUGUCUUAAGUGUAAGACAACAAAAGAAAAAAAUAAACAAGUGGUUAUAUAUCAAACUAAAAAAAAAACUUCUGCAUAGCAGAGGGAACUAUCAACAAAAUUAAAAGUCAGCCUACGGAACGUAUUUGGAACUGCAUGUCUGAUGAGGAGUUAAUAUCCAAAAUAUGUAUGGAACUCCUACAACUCAAUCGCAAAAAAACAGAAACCCAAUUGAAAAAUGGACAAAGAAUCUGAGCAGACAUUUUUGUAAAGAAGACAUAGAGAUGACCAACAGGUACACGAAAAGGUGGUUAACAUCAUUAAUCAGGUUAAUACAA